RNAcentral lists this ribosomal RNA (497 nucleotides) under uncultured bacterium. RNAcentral's name for it is "partial 16S ribosomal RNA". It matches the Rfam family "Bacterial small subunit ribosomal RNA", at positions 28 to 507 of the family's 1533-position model. The record is from RNAcentral.
GAUGAACGCUGGCGGCGUGCCUAAUACAUGCAAGUCGAGCGAACAGAUAAGGAGCUUGCUCCUUUGACGUUAGCGGCGGACGGGUGUGUAACACGUGGGUAACCUACCUAUAAGACUGGUAUAACUCCGGGAAACCGGGGCUAAUGCCGGAUAACAUCUUGAACCGCAUGGUUCUACAGGGAAAGGGGGCUUUGCUGUCACUUAUACAUGGACCCGCGCCGUAUUAGCUAGUUGGUGAGGUAACGGCUCACGAAGGCAACCAUACGUAGCCGACCUGCGAGGGUGAUCGGCCACACUGGAGGGGAGACAGGGUCCAGGGGCCUACGGGAGGGAGCAGUAGCGAAUCUUCCGCAAUGGGCGAGAGCCUGACGCAGCAACGCGGCGUGAGUGGUGGAGGUGUCCGGUUCGUGAAACUGUGUUAUGAGUGAAGAACAAAUGCGUAAGUAACUGUACGCGUCUUGACGGUACCUAGUCAGAAAGCCACGGCUAACUACGUG